GCUGCUGUAGCUCAGUUGGCAGAGCGCGUCCUUGGUAAGGACGAGGUCAUCGGUUCAAUCCCGAUCAGCAGCU
This 73-nucleotide transfer RNA is filed under the name Omnitrophica bacterium RIFCSPHIGHO2_02_FULL_46_11. RNAcentral's name for it is "tRNA-Thr". It matches the Rfam family "tRNA". From Rfam's summary of the family: Transfer RNA (tRNA) molecules are approximately 80 nucleotides in length. Their secondary structure includes four short double-helical elements and three loops (D, anti-codon, and T loops). Lineage: Bacteria; Pseudomonadati; Candidatus Omnitrophota. RNAcentral also lists the same sequence under 2 other names. The record is from RNAcentral.